Molecule: non-coding RNA, 552 nt
Organism: Paramuricea clavata
Lineage: Eukaryota; Metazoa; Cnidaria; Anthozoa; Malacalcyonacea; Plexauridae
Source: the annotation of a GenBank genome assembly
CUUUUUGAAUGUUAUGAUGUGAUUGAUGCUGUGAUGUGACUGAUGUUGUCAUGUGACUGAUAUGAUGUAACUCAUUUUAUGAUGUGAUUGAUGUUGUGAUGUGACUGAUGUUGACUUUGACUUCAAUAUCUAUGUUGAGAUUCUACCGUUGAUCCAAUUGAUUACAACUAUAAGGAUGAAUGGUGCUGAUGUUUGUAAAAAGCAUUUGAAGGUUUCAAUUAGCUUGGCCAAUCAACAUGAGGGAAGUUAAAGGUGAUUGGCUGAUCAGAUUAAAUCUAUAAAGUACUCUUGACAAACAUUGAAGUUUCAUGUGAGAAUAGACAAUGUUUUUAUCAACAUUGUUCAUGCAUCCUUAAUAAUUGCAAUUGACGGUAUUUCAAGGUACAGUAGCUGUCGCCUCUGAAUCACAAUUUUUUAUUUUUUAGACACAGCUUUGGGCAAGAUCAUGUUGCAUAUUUUCAAUCACUUCUCUUUGAAAUAAGCCAACCUUUUGUUUUACUUCUUUGUUUGUAAAUAUCAAGAUGAAAAAAAUAAAAGUUUAACUUUAAGUGA